Long non-coding RNA from Harpia harpyja (harpy eagle), 670 nucleotides. RefSeq lists it as uncharacterized. NCBI's taxonomy places the organism in Eukaryota, Metazoa, Chordata, Aves, Accipitriformes, Accipitridae. The record is from RefSeq and is a predicted model, not a curated record. The transcript is spliced from 5 exons.
AACAAAAGCUGCUGGCAGAAGAGGAGAGAGGCAAUUUAAACAAUCAAAUACUGGUUUAAAGUUUGUUUUCCUGAAAAUCAGGUAUUCUAGUCUUCAGUUGCCUGAUUUGCCUGAAGGGGACUGAAAACAUUAAAUCAACACCUAAAGAACUAUCAAACAAAGGCUGGCUUGGAGGAGAAAACAACAGACUGGAAAUACCAUGGUCCAGUGAGGUCUUGGCUGAAUUGUUGCUGUUCUCCUCCUCAAGCAGAGGAAUUGUGGAGGAUGCUCGCUACUUGUUCUCACAUACUACGGCAAAGAUUCUUGCGCUAGCUGACAGAUAGCCUGAAGGCACAAGGUUGCAAAGGGGCAGUGGAAUGGCUAUAGGUCCUCUGCUGAGAGACACGUCCCUCCUGUUCAGGCACAGAGCUACCGCUGCCAUGCCCUCUGUACCUCUACAGAGCCCCUGCACAGACAGACAGGAGAAUGGUCAGAUGAGAGACCCCUCACCUCCUUUCACAGGUGAAUUGAAUAGAUUGUGCUUCCAAGGGUGAUGGGGGGCAAAACAAGACCAUCUCUCUCACCUCCCAACAGCAAGUGUGCUGACAGGAGUUGAGGAAGGAUUGUAAAACAGCCAAACAAAGGAGGAAUGUUGCAAUGGCAUUUUGAAAUAAACCUGUUUGUGACAAGC